AGAGUUUGAUCCUGGCUCAGGACGAACGCUGGCGGCGUGCCUAAUACAUGCAAGUAGAACGCUGAAGAGAGGAGCUUGCUCUUCUUGGAUGAGUUGCGAACGGGUGAGUAACGCGUAGGUAACCUGCCUUGUAGCGGGGGAUAACUAUUGGAAACGAUAGCUAAUACCGCAUAACAAUGGAUGACACAUGUCAUUUAUUUGAAAGGGGCAAUUGCUCCACUACAAGAUGGACCUGCGUUGUAUUAGCUAGUAGGUGAGGUAACGGCUCACCUAGGCGACGAUACAUAGCCGACCUGAGAGGGUGAUCGGCCACACUGGGACUGAGACACGGCCCAGACUCCUACGGGAGGCAGCAGUAGGGAAUCUUCGGCAAUGGGGGCAACCCUGACCGAGCAACGCCGCGUGAGUGAAGAAGGUUUUCGGAUCGUAAAGCUCUGUUGUAAGUCAAGAACGAGUGUGAGAGUGGAAAGUUCACACUGUGACGGUAGCUUACCAGAAAGGGACGGCUAACUACGUGCCAGCAGCCGCGGUAAUACGUAGGUCCCGAGCGUUGUCCGGAUUUAUUGGGCGUAAAGCGAGCGCAGGCGGUUUGAUAAGUCUGAAGUUAAAGGCUGUGGCUCAACCAUAGUUCGCUUUGGAAACUGUCAAACUUGAGUGCAGAAGGGGAGAGUGGAAUUCCAUGUGUAGCGGUGAAAUGCGUAGAUAUAUGGAGGAACACCGGUGGCGAAAGCGGCUCUCUGGUCUGUAACUGACGCUGAGGCUCGAAAGCGUGGGGAGCGAACAGGAUUAGAUACCCUGGUAGUCCACGCCGUAAACGAUGAGUGCUAGGUGUUGGAUCCUUUCCGGGAUUCAGUGCCGCAGCUAACGCACUAAGCACUCCGCCUGGGGAGUACGACCGCAAGGUUGAAACUCAAAGGAAUUGACGGGGGCCCGCACAAGCGGUGGAGCAUGUGGUUUAAUUCGAAGCAACGCGAAGAACCUUACCAGGUCUUGACAUCCCGAUGCUAUUUCUAGAGAUAGAAAGUUACUUCGGUACAUCGGUGACAGGUGGUGCAUGGUUGUCGUCAGCUCGUGUCGUGAGAUGUUGGGUUAAGUCCCGCAACGAGCGCAGCCCCUAUUGUUAGUUGCCAUCAUUCAGUUGGGCACUCUAGCGAGACUGCCGGUAAUAAACCGGAGGAAGGUGGGGAUGACGUCAAAUCAUCAUGCCCCUUAUGACCUGGGCUACACACGUGCUACAAUGGUUGGUACAACGAGUUGCGAGUCGGUGACGGCAAGCUAAUCUCUUAAAGCCAAUCUCAGUUCGGAUUGUAGGCUGCAACUCGCCUACAUGAAGUCGGAAUCGCUAGUAAUCGCGGAUCAGCACGCCGCGGUGAAUACGUUCCCGGGCCUUGUACACACCGCCCGUCACACCACGAGAGUUUGUAACACCCGAAGUCGGUGAGGUAACCUUUUGGAGCCAGCCGCCUAAGGUGGGAUAGAUGAUUGGGGUGAAGUCGUAACAAGGUA
This 1506-nucleotide ribosomal RNA is filed under the name metagenome. Its description in RNAcentral is "bacterial SSU rRNA". It matches the Rfam family "Bacterial small subunit ribosomal RNA". The record is from RNAcentral.